GAUGAACGCUGGCGGCGUGCUUAACACAUGCAAGUCGAACGGAAAGGCCCAAGCUUGCUUGGGUACUCGAGUGGCGAACGGGUGAGUAACACGUGGGUGAUCUGCCCUGCACUUCGGGCUAAGCCUGGGAAACUGGGUCUAAUACCGGAUAGGACGAUGGUUUGGGUGCCAUUGUGGAAAGUUUUUACGGUGUGGGAUGAGCUCGCGGCCUAUCAGCUUGUUGGUGGGGUAAUGGCCUACCAACGCGUCGACGGGGAGCCGGCCUGAGAGGGGGGACGGCCACACUGGGACUGAGAUACGGCCCAGACUCCUACGGGAGGCAGCAGGGGGGAAUAUUGCACAAUGGGCGCGAGCCUGAUGCAGCGACGCCGCGUGGGGGAUGACGGCCUUCGGGUUGUAAACUCCUUUCGCUAGGGACGAAGCGUUUUUGUGACGGUACCUGGAGAAGAAGCACCGGCUAACUACGUG
This 468-nucleotide ribosomal RNA is filed under the name uncultured bacterium. RNAcentral's name for it is "partial 16S ribosomal RNA". It matches the Rfam family "Bacterial small subunit ribosomal RNA", at positions 28 to 507 of the family's 1533-position model. The record is from RNAcentral.